CCUCUUGUUCUAUCGAGUCGAUCAUGUUGAGGAGCUGUGUGCUUCGAUCCAUCUUAUCUGAAACAAUUGGAGAAGAGAAAAAUUGUUUUGCCGAGAGGAGAGAGAUUGUUUCUCUUUUCCAAUCAGCAGUGCUCACCAAAAGGGGUGGAGAGUUAUAAUGAGUUUAGUUUUUAUAAUAGAUUGCCAAUAAUCAAGGUCAUUUCUAGUGAUUAAAUAUUUACAUUAUCAAUAUUGUAUGCAUUAAUGAACUUGCAUAUUUUUGAAUUUUAUGUUCCGAAUUUUGAUUAAUCUUGCCAAU
RNAcentral lists this long non-coding RNA (298 nucleotides) under Carica papaya (papaya). RNAcentral's name for it is "long non-coding RNA (CPAP_LNC016288)". Lineage: Eukaryota; Viridiplantae; Streptophyta; Magnoliopsida; Brassicales; Caricaceae. The record is from RNAcentral.